CCUACGGGAGUCAGCAGUGAGGAAUAUUGGUCAAUGGCCGUGAGCCUGCACCAGCCAAGUCGCGUGAAGGAUGACUGCCCUACGGGUUGUAAACUUCUUUUAUAGAGGAAUAAAGUUAUCCACGUGUGCCUUUUUGCAUGUACCUUAUGAAUAAGCAUCGGCUAACUCCGUGCCAGCAGCCGCGGUAAUACGGAGGAUGCGAGCGUUAUCCGGAUUUAUUGGGUUUAAAGGGUGCGUAGGUUGGUUGUUAAGUCAGGUGUGAAAGUUUGUGGCUCAACCGUAAAAUUGCCGUUGAAACUGGAAGACUGGAGUGUGUGUGAGGUAGGCGGAAUGCGUGGUGUAGCGGUGAAAUGCAUAGAGAUCAUACAGAACACCGAUUGCGAAGGCAGCUUACCAAACUGCGACUGACGUUGAGGCACGAAAGCGUGGGGAGCAAACAGGAUUAGAUACCCUUGUAGUC
This 460-nucleotide ribosomal RNA is filed under the name uncultured bacterium. RNAcentral describes it as "partial 16S ribosomal RNA". It matches the Rfam family "Bacterial small subunit ribosomal RNA", at positions 338 to 795 of the family's 1533-position model. The record is from RNAcentral.